This 71-nucleotide microRNA precursor is filed under the name Marek's disease virus serotype 2 MDV2. Its description in RNAcentral is "microRNA mdv2-mir-M19 precursor". Its record names the gene mdv2-mir-M19. The record is from miRBase by way of RNAcentral. Lineage: Duplodnaviria; Heunggongvirae; Peploviricota; Herviviricetes; Herpesvirales; Orthoherpesviridae.
CGUGUCCCCCCUCGGCGGUGUGCACGGGAGUAUCGGGCGCCGUCCUCAUGCCCCCCUCCGAGGGUAGCACG